This 468-nucleotide ribosomal RNA is filed under the name uncultured bacterium. RNAcentral's name for it is "partial 16S ribosomal RNA". It matches the Rfam family "Bacterial small subunit ribosomal RNA", at positions 28 to 507 of the family's 1533-position model. The record is from RNAcentral.
GACGAACGCUGGCGGUGUGCUUAACACAUGCAAGUCGAACGGAAAGGCCCUGCUUUUGUGGGGUGCUCGAGUGGCGAACGGGUGAGUAACACGUGAGUAACCUGCCCUUGACUUUGGGGUAACUUCAGGAAACUGGGGCUAAUACCGGAUAGGAGCUCCUGCUGCAUGGUGGGGGGUGGAAAGUUUCGGCGGGAGGGGAUGGACUCGCGGCUUAUCAGCUUGUUGGUGGGGUAGUGGCUUACCAAGGCUUUGACGGGUAGCCGGCCUGAGAGGGUGACCGGCCACAAUGGGACUGAGAUACGGCCCAGACUCCAACGGGAGGCAGCAGUGGGGAAUAUUGCACAAUGGGCGGGAGCCUGAUGCAGCAGCGCCGCGUGCGGGAUGACGGCCUUCGGGUUGUAAACCGCUUUCGCCUGUGACGAAGCGGGAGUGACGGUAAUGGAUAAAGAAGCACCGGCUAACUACGUG